RNAcentral lists this transfer RNA (73 nucleotides) under Thiocystis violascens DSM 198. It matches the Rfam family "tRNA". Rfam says of the family: Transfer RNA (tRNA) molecules are approximately 80 nucleotides in length. Their secondary structure includes four short double-helical elements and three loops (D, anti-codon, and T loops). The record is from Rfam by way of RNAcentral. Lineage: Bacteria; Pseudomonadati; Pseudomonadota; Gammaproteobacteria; Chromatiales; Chromatiaceae.
GCCUAGGUAGCUCAGUUGGUAGAGCAGAGGACUGAAAAUCCUCGUGUCGGUGGUUCGAUUCCGCCCCUGGGCA